This 253-nucleotide ribosomal RNA is filed under the name uncultured microorganism. Its description in RNAcentral is "partial 16S ribosomal RNA". It matches the Rfam family "Bacterial small subunit ribosomal RNA", at positions 524 to 776 of the family's 1533-position model. The record is from RNAcentral.
UACGGAGGGUGCGAGCGUUAUUCGGAAUCACUGGGCGUAAAGCGCGCGUAGGCGGUGCGGUAAGUCAGGGGUUAAAGGCUGCAGCUCAACUGCAGUAAGGCCUUUGAUACUAUCGCGCUAGAGUACCAGAGAGGAUGGCUGAAUUCCCGGUGUAGCGGUGAAAUGCGUAGAUAUCGGGAGGAAGGCCGGUGGCGAAGGCGGCCCUCUGGGCCUGUACUGACACUGAGGCGCGAAAGCGUGGGGAGCAAACAGG